Anguilla anguilla (European eel) is the source of this 74-nucleotide non-coding RNA. The record is from the annotation of a RefSeq genome assembly. Lineage: Eukaryota; Metazoa; Chordata; Actinopteri; Anguilliformes; Anguillidae.
GGGCGGUUAGCUCAGUUGGUUAGAGCAUGGUGCUAAUAACGCAGAGGUUGCUGGUUCGAUCCCCGCACAGGCCG